CCCAUGCCUCUCCUUGUUCCCAGCCUCUUCUCUCUCUCUCCCUUAUCCUCUUCUCUCUCUCCCGUCCCCCACGCCUCUCCUUGUUCCCAGCCAAGAUCCACCUCCACCUACCGCCGUUCCCCAAGCCGCUGACGAGCACCAGGCAGCCGACGCCAUGGACGGCUGCGGAGCUUCGCGCCACCCGACGUCAACCGCAUUGCCGCCCCAAGGGAUCCGUGCGCGUGGCCGCGUUGAGCCGCACAUGCGCUAGAGCCAUCCGCCGGUGUGUGCCGCCGCAGCAACAGGUUCGGCAAUGACUGUCGGCCCUGCCGCUUCAUUGCUCCUGCCCAAGCCGGCCUCCGCUUUCUUACCCCGCCACCGGCGAGCUGCCAUGCCCGUCCUCAUCGCACUGGUGCUGUCCUCCAGUAUGCUUGCUGGCUGUGACCAGAGCCCUGUACAUAUUUGGUUCGGUUGCAGCGCUGCUACUUCCCGGUGGAUCUAGGCUGCCCAGGCUAGCAACGUGUGUGUUGCUUUCUUGAUGGGUUUUAAGUGGAUCUUAAUUUGAUGUAUCCUGGCACUUGUCCGUGUGUAAAUCUGAUGUGCAGAACACUUAGAAGUUGCUACUCUUAGGAUAUUCUUGCUCGUAUGUGUACACGUGAAGAAUGGCUAGCUUUUAGAUCUGUUUUCUUUUUGUUAAAGAAAUAUACAUUCAUUUUUAUUGGA
Molecule: ribosomal RNA, 702 nt
Filed under: Triticum aestivum (bread wheat)
Lineage: Eukaryota; Viridiplantae; Streptophyta; Magnoliopsida; Poales; Poaceae
Description: partial small subunit ribosomal RNA
Source: RNAcentral